UUUCGACGUAGGUAUAAGACGGGGUUGAGUGACGAAAUUGUGUUCGCAUAGCUUUCGCACCCCCUGUUUUAUUUAACCGACGACGAACGCGUGCACUUUUCUCCUGGUAGGACGUCGCAAUCCGUUGGGUGUCGGUCUACGGUUCGCGGUGGAGCCCGUUCUGACAAAUCCAUUGAUGAGCGGACCCGUGUUAUUCCUGACCGACUCGCUCGACGGUAUACAAAUGGUAUGUGGCCGCUUGAUUUAAAGCUUUCGACUCGUGGCAAGCGCACUCGAUGCGUUGGCGGUCGGACCUAGUGCCGAUCCUGACCUCUGGUGACUGUUGGCCACGAUGUUCUCGGAAAGAGCCGAUUACCGAUUUGCGACGCUAUAGCUUUGGGUACUUUCAGGACCCGUCUUGAAACACGGACCAAGGAGUCUAGCAUGUACGCAAGUCAUUGGGAAUCACUAAACCUAAAGGCGCAAUGAAAGUAAAGGUCUUCCUUGCGAGGACCUAGGGAAGAUGUGCGGUUAACCGUUAAAAGUUGCCGCGCCGCAUUCCCGGGGCGUCUCAUUCUCA
RNAcentral lists this ribosomal RNA (559 nucleotides) under Tomicus brevipilosus. Its description in RNAcentral is "eukaryotic LSU rRNA". It matches the Rfam family "Eukaryotic large subunit ribosomal RNA", at positions 483 to 779 of the family's 3401-position model. The record is from RNAcentral. Lineage: Eukaryota; Metazoa; Arthropoda; Insecta; Coleoptera; Curculionidae.